CUGUAAUAAGCUGCCCUGCGAUAUCUCCUGCAAAUAGAGGAACAAUCAUAUAAGAUGCAAAGCAAACUUUCCGUCAGGUUAACAGAAAUGAAAUAUUUUAUUACUUCUGUACUAAACAAAACCCAAUUAAAUCACCAUCAAAGUUUAGAGCUAGACCAAGCUUGGUUUUUUCUCUCAAGUUACAAAAUACUUACCCAAAGGGCCGACGAGUUCUAGGG
This is a non-coding RNA of Biomphalaria pfeifferi, 218 nucleotides long. The record is from the annotation of a GenBank genome assembly. NCBI's taxonomy places the organism in Eukaryota, Metazoa, Mollusca, Gastropoda, Planorbidae.